This 465-nucleotide ribosomal RNA is filed under the name Vreelandella stevensii. RNAcentral's name for it is "partial 16S ribosomal RNA". It matches the Rfam family "Bacterial small subunit ribosomal RNA", at positions 338 to 795 of the family's 1533-position model. Lineage: Bacteria; Pseudomonadati; Pseudomonadota; Gammaproteobacteria; Oceanospirillales; Halomonadaceae. The record is from RNAcentral.
CCUACGGGGGGCUGCAGUGGGGAAUAUUGGACAAUGGGCGAAAGCCUGAUCCAGCCAUGCCGCGUGUGUGAAGAAGGCCUUCGGGUUGUAAAGCACUUUCAGUGGGGAAGAAAGCCUUGGGGCUAAUACCCUCGAGGAAGGACAUCACCCACAGAAGAAGCACCGGCUAACUCCGUGCCAGCAGCCGCGGUAAUACGGAGGGUGCGAGCGUUAAUCGGAAUUACUGGGCGUAAAGCGCGCGUAGGCGGUCUGAUAAGCCGGUUGUGAAAGCCCCGGGCUCAACCUGGGAACGGCAUCCGGGACUGUCAGGCUAGAGUGCAGGAGAGGAAGGUAGAAUUCCCGGUGUAGCGGUGAAAUGCGUAGAGAUCGGGAGGAAUACCAGUGGCGAAGGCGGCCUUCUGGACUGACACUGACGCUGAGGUGCGAAAGCGUGGGUAGCAAACAGGAUUAGAUACCCUUGUAGUC